GAUGAACGCUGGCGGCGUGCCUAAUACAUGCAAGUCGAGCGAACGGACGAGAAGCUUGCUUUUCUGAUGUUAGCGGCGGACGGGUGAGUAACACGUGGAUAACCUACCUAUAAGACUGGGAUAACUUCGGGAAACCGGAGCUAAUACCGGAUAAUAUUUUGAACCGCAUGGUUCAAAAGUGAAAGACGGUCUUGCUGUCACUGAUAGAUGGAUCCGCGCUGCAUUAGCUAGUUGGUAAGGUAACGGCUUACCAAGGCAACGAUGCAUAGCCGACCUGAGAGGGUGAUCGGCCACACUGGAACUGAGACACGGUCCAGACUCCUACGGGAGGCAGCAGUAGGGAAUCUUCCGCAAUGGGCGAAAGCCUGACGGAGCAACGCCGCGUGAGUGAUGAAGGUCUUCGGAUCGUAAAACUCUGUUAUUAGGGAAGAACAUAUGUGUAAGUAACUGUGCACAUCUUGACGGUACCUAAUCAGAAAGCCACGGCUAACUACGUG
RNAcentral lists this ribosomal RNA (497 nucleotides) under uncultured bacterium. RNAcentral describes it as "partial 16S ribosomal RNA". It matches the Rfam family "Bacterial small subunit ribosomal RNA", at positions 28 to 507 of the family's 1533-position model. The record is from RNAcentral.